AGUGAACGCUGGCGGUAGGCCUAACACAUGCAAGUCGAACGGCAGCACAGUAAUAGCUCGCGCUUACGGCUGCCGAGUGGCGGACGAGGCCGAAGUACAUGCGAAUCUACUUUUGCUAGGGGCCGAACAUAGGCACAAUUACCCUAAAAGCGCAUACGACCUAAGGGUGAAAUCAGGGGAUCUUCCGAUCUCAGCUGAUCCUAUGACCGGAUGUCUAGUUAGCUAGUUGGAGGGGUAAAGGCCCACCAAUGCGAAGAUCCUUAGAUGGUCUGAGAGGAUGAUCAGUCAAACUGGAACUGAGACACGGUGGAGAGUGCUAGGGGAGGCAGCAGUGGGGAAUAUGGGACAAUGGUCGAAAUCCUGAUUCAGCAAUGCCGCGUGUGUGAAGAAGGGCUUCGGAUUGUAAAACACUUUAAGUUGGGAGGAAGGGCAGUAAGUUAAUACCGUGCUGUUUUGACGUGACACACAGAGUAAGCACCGGCUAACUUCGUG
This 492-nucleotide ribosomal RNA is filed under the name uncultured bacterium. RNAcentral describes it as "partial 16S ribosomal RNA". It matches the Rfam family "Bacterial small subunit ribosomal RNA", at positions 29 to 507 of the family's 1533-position model. The record is from RNAcentral.